RNAcentral lists this ribosomal RNA (731 nucleotides) under uncultured bacterium. RNAcentral describes it as "bacterial SSU rRNA". It matches the Rfam family "Bacterial small subunit ribosomal RNA", at positions 28 to 776 of the family's 1533-position model. The record is from RNAcentral.
GACGAACGCUGGCGGCCUGUCUAAGACAUGCAAGUCGAGCGAUGAAGUUCCUUCGGGAACCGAUUAGCGGCGGACGGGUGAGUAACACGUGGGCAACCUGCCUUAUAGAGGGGAAUAGCCUUCCGAAAGGAAGAUUAAUACCGCAUAAGAUUGUAGCUUCGCAUGAAGUAGCAAUUAAAGGAGCAAUCCGCUAUAAGAUGGGCCCGCGGCGCAUUAGCUAGUUGGUGAGGUAACGGCUCACCAAGGCGACGAUGCGUAGCCGACCUGAGAGGGUGAUCGGCCACAUUGGGACUGAGACACGGCCCAGACUCCUACGGGAGGCAGCAGUGGGGAAUAUUGCACAAUGGGGGAAACCCUGAUGCAGCAACGCCGCGUGAGUGAUGACGGCCUUCGGGUUGUAAAGCUCUGUCUUUGGGGACGAUAAUGACGGUACCCAAGGAGGAAGCCACGGCUAACUACGUGCCAGCAGCCGCGGUAAUACGUAGGUGGCAAGCGUUGUCCGGAUUUACUGGGCGUAAAGGGAGCGUAGGCGGAUUUUUAAGUGGGAUGUGAAAUACCCGGGCUCAACCUGGGUGCUGCAUUCCAAACUGGAAAUCUAGAGUGCAGGAGGGGAAAGUGGAAUUCCUAGUGUAGCGGUGAAAUGCGUAGAGAUUAGGAAGAACACCAGUGGCGAAGGCGACUUUCUGGACUGUAACUGACGUUGAGGCUCGAAAGCGUGNGGAGCAAACAGG